GAAAGGGUCAUUGCACAUACAGAUCAUCAAUCCAAACCAACAAUAUAUCGUCCUAAAAUGAAGGCUAUCGUUAUCAUUUGCAUUCUGCUGGCAGGUUCCCUUCUUUUCUCGUCCCCUUCAAUUAUUGUGGCUCGCGAGCUGGCUCAUCCGCGGGAUGGAACUACUGCCAGAUCCGGCAAGCCAGCAAUACCAUGUGAGCCUGGCGAUCGUCCAUACAGUUCUUGCAUACGAAACCCAAAGCCACCCAUCAAGUGUAAUGAAAAAAGCGCAUAUCACCGUUGCCCGCCAUCUCAAGGACCUUGAAUCAGUACUACUUAAUUAUUGUACUGGUGUGGUGAAAGUAUGAAUAAAUAGUACUAAAGUUACAAGUAGUACUCAUCAUUAAUAUUGUAAUGGAGCUGGAUCAAUCGAGCUAGCUUCCUUUGCAGUAUGGAAACAUAUAUGUAAAAUAUGCUGCAUCUUCUUGAUAUGCUGUCGUGUGCCAAUAAAAAGAUCGAGCUGACCGACAUAGUUUCGGUCAGCUUGUUGUUAUCCUAAUACAUCAAGUAUUUAAUAUUUUUUUUUU
Juglans regia (Persian walnut) is the source of this 565-nucleotide long non-coding RNA. RefSeq lists it as uncharacterized. The record is from RefSeq and is a predicted model, not a curated record. NCBI's taxonomy places the organism in Eukaryota, Viridiplantae, Streptophyta, Magnoliopsida, Fagales, Juglandaceae. The transcript has 2 exons.